RNAcentral lists this ribosomal RNA (468 nucleotides) under uncultured bacterium. RNAcentral describes it as "bacterial LSU rRNA". It matches the Rfam family "Bacterial large subunit ribosomal RNA", at positions 1367 to 1807 of the family's 2925-position model. The record is from RNAcentral.
CGUCAUCGUAGGGUUAGUCGGGACCUAAGUCGAGUCCGAAAGGGGUAGACGAUGGCAAAUCGGUUAAUAUUCCGAUACCGACGGUUGUUUGUUUGAAUGAUGGGGGGACGCAUAGAGUUAAUCGAGCUCACUGAUGGAAUAGUGGGUCGAAGGACGUAGGUCGCAAGGUAGGCAAAUCCGCUACACAUGAGGCCGAGAUCUUACAGGCUCUUCAAUAGCUUCGGCUAGCGAGGAGAAUCGAUGAUACUGUCGUGCCGAGAAAAGCCACUAAGUAUAUUAUAUGUUGCCCGUACCGUAAACCGACACAGGUGGGUGAGAUGAGUAUUCUAAGGCGCGUGGAAGAACCCUGGUUAAGGAACUCUGCAAACUAGCACCGUAACUUCGGAAUAAGGUGUGCCUCCUCUUGUAUAGGACUUCGCGUCCGAAAGCGAGAGAGGUUGCAACAAAGAGUCCCUCCCGACUGUUUAC